UACGUAGGGUGCAAGCGUUGUCCGGAAUCAUUGGGCGUAAAGCGCACGUAGGCGGCUUUGUAAGUUAGAGGUGAAAGCCCGGGGCUCAACUCCGGAAUUGCCUUUAAGACUGCAUCGCUAGAAUUGUGGAGAGGUAAGUGGAAUUCCGAGUGUAGAGGUGAAAUUCGUAGAUAUUCGGAAGAACACCAGUGGCGAAGGCGACUUACUGGACACAUAUUGACGCUGAGGUGCGAAAGCGUGGGGAGCAAACAGG
RNAcentral lists this ribosomal RNA (253 nucleotides) under uncultured bacterium. Its description in RNAcentral is "partial 16S ribosomal RNA". It matches the Rfam family "Bacterial small subunit ribosomal RNA", at positions 524 to 776 of the family's 1533-position model. The record is from RNAcentral.